GUGAACUGAAACAUCUCAGUAGCUCGAGGAAAAGACAUCAACCGAGAUUCCGAAAGUAGUGGCGAGCGAAAUCGGAAGAGCCUGUCAGUGAUAGCACGAUUGUUAGCAAAAUGAUCUGGAAAGGUCGGCCAUAGCAGGUGAUAGCCCUGUAUGCGAAAAGAGGAGUGUGGUACUAAGUUGCGAACAAGUAGGGCGGGACACGUG
This 204-nucleotide ribosomal RNA is filed under the name Chaetoceros curvisetus. RNAcentral's name for it is "partial Bacterial large subunit ribosomal RNA". It matches the Rfam family "Bacterial large subunit ribosomal RNA", at positions 188 to 428 of the family's 2925-position model. The record is from RNAcentral. Lineage: Eukaryota; Bacillariophyta; Thalassiosirophyceae; Chaetocerotales; Chaetocerotaceae.